RNAcentral lists this small RNA (74 nucleotides) under Sinorhizobium meliloti 2011. Its description in RNAcentral is "putative ncRNA". Lineage: Bacteria; Pseudomonadati; Pseudomonadota; Alphaproteobacteria; Hyphomicrobiales; Rhizobiaceae. The record is from RNAcentral.
GAAUGGAAACGGAGAUGCAACUCGAUCCGAACCGGUCGUUGCGCCAAGGCGGGCGAACGGAAGUGUUGAGGGAA